AAGACAACUCUCAACAACGGAUAUCUUGGCUCUCGCAACGAUGAAGAACGCAGCGAACUGCGAUACGUAAUGUGAAUUGCAGAAUCCCGUGAAUCAUCGAAUCUUUGAACGCAUAUUGCACCCAAGGCUUCGGCUAAGGGUAUGUCUGCCUCAGCGU
Molecule: ribosomal RNA, 157 nt
Filed under: Chlamydomonas raudensis
Lineage: Eukaryota; Viridiplantae; Chlorophyta; Chlorophyceae; Chlamydomonadales; Chlamydomonadaceae
Description: 5.8S ribosomal RNA
Rfam family: 5.8S ribosomal RNA
About the family: 5.8S ribosomal RNA (5.8S rRNA) is a component of the large subunit of the eukaryotic ribosome. It is transcribed by RNA polymerase I as part of the 45S precursor that also contains 18S and 28S rRNA.
Source: RNAcentral